AAUCUGCACGCGCGCACGCACACACACACACACAGGCACACCCUCCUGUGCCACCCCUUCCUCUCCGCUACACUUUAAGCAAGUAACCGUCACAAGCGACAAAAGUUUCCUCCAUACUUUUGUUGUUUUGUUUUGUUGUUUUGUUGUUUUUCCUUUCGCGCGCGUGUGUGUUUGUUCUUUGUUCUUCUCGCUAUUCUUGCGUCCUUUCACCUGACUCGCUGACCCUCCUCCGAUACCUUCCUUUGCCUUCGCCCUUUUGUUUCGCUUUCGACACCCUUCAUCAGCUACUCUACAGCCCCCCCCCCCCCACACACACACACGCACACAUCACUCAUCACACCGCCUCCUGCACGUUCGCGGUCUUUGCGCUGCUUCUCUCCCUUUCUUAACGGCCCCGAUCGUACACUGACGCUUUCCGAAAGAAAAAAGAAGCAGAAAAGGAGAAAACGCACACGGCAAGGUGCCACAUUCGCUCAGGGAGUAGCAAGAAAGGUCAGACAGAACAACCGUACAAGCCACCUGUUCACCCCACUCAGCUCAGUCAUCAUCGCGCCGCCCUCUCGUCUACCUCCGCGUUCAGCGUCUCUCGACACAGACAAACGAGAAGAACCAAAGAAAGUUGUUUUGAAUUCCCACACUUCUUUUCGCUCUCACUGUUAUCGGCUUCUGUUCUUCUUCGUGCCUUAUUAUACGCCCCCCCCCUGCACCCACCCAACCCCCUCUCUCACACAAGCUGAGUGCACGUGACACUUCUCAGACGCGCUGAACGGCAACCCCUUUGAGAAACCAGUAUAUACACCAGCUCGCUCUUGCGACCAUUUUUUUUUGGUUGCUGCUUUGUCCGACCUCUCCGUUUUCCCUUUCUCGUCCGCAUCUCUCACCCACCGCGAAGUCCUUGGUAUCUCUCUCGUCUCGACUACAACACCCAAGCGCCCUCUUACACACGUUGUGGGAGGGGGUUUUUCUGGAAGCUGAUCUCUCCCUCUGCCCGUGCUUCUCUCCGUGUUCACCGCCCUCCCCUCCCGCUCUCCUCAUCAUUUUCCACACGAUUAGGGGUGGCUGUACUUCACCUAUUGGCUGUUCUGUGCGUCUCUCUCUCUCUUCGCGCUCUUGUAACGCGAGUUCGUGGUCGUAGGGCUUCCUUUUGGUUCGCUUCACUCCUCGUUUUGUUCCCCAUUCGGGAGAUCGCACUGCUCUCUUAGUUCUGUUUUCGUUGUUUUCUUCAUCUCUUUUUCACCCGCUGCGCCCUUCCCUCCCCUCGGCUCCGAUCUUGAUCUACACAAUCUCAUCUUUUUCCCUUUUUCCUCUUCCGCUUGCUUUGUCUUGUCCAACUGUGACAAGGUCCUCCCUCUCCUCCCUUCUUUGUGUGAACACCUCUCCUCUCCCCCUCUCCCUCUUGGUUGGCCGCUCCUUUCACUCGCCCUCUCUCUUUCUUUGAUUUAAUGUGUGUGUGUGCAUGUGUGUGUGUGUGUUGUGUUCCGUCCCGCUUAUUUGAUCUCUUGUUUUCUGUAUUUUUUUUUCUCUUUUUUGGAUUCGUACGUACAUCUUUCGCUCAGCUUUUUAUCACCCUUUCCCAGUCUCAAGUCACCACGUCGAGCUUCACCUCACAUCUCCCACACACACGACGCCUAUCUCCCACUCCCUUCACUUCAUCAGCGACGCGCACGGACAGAUAUCAUUUUCGUUGUUGCUACUCUCUCCCCGCUUUCACCGCUUCUGCCUCGUCUUGUGUGUGUGCUUGAGCGCGCUGUGAGUUUGCUUGCGUAUUUCGUCUAGCAACAGAGCCUUUCAAGAAGGCAAUCAAGCUGUAUAGCGAGAGCGUGCACAGAGAAGGAGGCAAUUUUUUUUAGGGCAGAGACUACCUGUAUUGCGUGGCACACUGGGAAUAAGGUGUGCUUCUACAUGCGCGGAUACCCUUUCGAACCCUUUCCCUCACCCACACACGUGUUCCUCUUGACGCUCCGCCCCCUUCCCCGCACCACUCAUACACACACGCUUGUCUGGACUUGAUCCCUUUUCAUCCCCUUCUCAUUACCUGCUUUCCUUUGCCGUUCAACCCUUUGCGUCUCCUUGUCCCCUACCCCUCUUUCCGUCGAUCUCGAUUUUUCUGUAGUUGGUGCUCUCGCCUGCAUCUUCGUCAUCCUUUCGCGGAAAGGUCUCUACCCGCUGUUCUCUGCAGUUGGUACGCCGCUGCCGCCCUGUCGCACGGCCGUCGUUUUUUUUUUUCGUUGUUCGCUCUCCAAAACUACCACCACCACCCUCCCUUUUUCGUUUUUCAUUUCCUUUCAUUGGUUCCUCUCCUGAGAGGCGCAGUGUCGCGCGAGUAUCCAACCCCCCUGCGUAGAACGAGGAACGAAGAGGCUUCACAUGCAACAGCAUAGCGAAAGCGAUCUCUUUAGGCCUCCUCUGUUGUAUGCGGGCAUAACCGCUUCUCUCUUUGUUUCUCCAGUUUUGACCUACGCGGUUGCGACAAGUACAGCGAAACACACACAAAAAAAAAAAAACAUAACCAUUUGUGCAGCCUGGGUGCAUCAUCUAUACGCUUGCAUCUACCCUUGGCCGCUCACGCUCGAUUCAAACAAGCUUCUUCUUACUUUCCCCUUUCAUUCGGCGUUUCUGUGUUGUGGUGGGUUCAGUUGGACUGACGGCUCGCCGGGUUCCUCCCACCCCGCCCCUCCUCGCGCUGACCUUCACUGAAAAAAAAAAAUACAGUUGCGAAGGCGCAAAGGGAAAGAAAGGAGGCAAAUCAAAAAAAGUCCAACGGAAAAAGGUAAAACAAACGGCUUACAGUCAUUAAGGCACCGUCGGACAUCACGUCCUGCGAGUUCAACAAUCCGGUCCCCACCUCAAACGCACCGCCGAUCUUUCACCGCGGCACAUCCAUAACACAAGCGUGUUUCUUUCUCUGCCAUUUAGUCGUGUGUGUGUGUGUGCUUCACAAUUGUGCUGAGUGUUUUGUCUUUUGUCUUCCUGUACGUGGGCUCUUUCCCCCUCCCUUCCUCCCUCCCUCCUCCUCCAUUUCGUGCACGGAUUAUUCUCUUAUCUGGCCCUUUGAGCGCACUGUCUCUCUUUUUCUUCGCCUAUUAUCAUUUUCUUUCAGCUUAUUGGUCUUUGUUCUUUUUUUCAUUGCGCGCUCUGUGUGUGUGUGCGUGUGUGUUCUGUGUUUUCUUCUCUUCUUUGCGCUCUUUCGUCAUCGUUUCUUUUCAAUCUUGUUACCUGUUUUAGUCCCCCUUCCUCCUCAUUUUUCUGACUCUUUUCCCAAUCAAAUUUUUUUUGUGUUGCUGUUCUUGACCUAUUCGCCCUCUGACCGCUCUUGGCUGCACCAUCACAAUUUUACUUUCUGGUUAUAUUUUUUUUUGCAAUUUCUUGUAAUUUCAUCAGUAGUGCUUCUCUUUCUGAAUUGUCUCUUUUUUUUUCGCGUGUGUGUGUGUCUUGGCCUGUGCCUGUGUGCAUGAGUAGAUCUGUCAGCGAUACCCUCUUCUCCGCUCCAACCCCCCUCUCCCCUUCAUUCCACAAUUCCUCACCCGUAGUACUUUCUUUGUGCUCGUCUUCCCGUCUUCUGUGCUACUUCUCUUUUUAACCCCCUGCUCCUCUUUUUGUUUCUCUGACUCGUGUGCUAACACUUUUCUCAAAAAAAAAACGUUGUUUUUUUUUCUUGUUUCGCUUGUUGAGCUCUUGUUCUGUGUGUGCGUGUGUGCCUGUAUUCCUCCACAUCUAGAUAGACUAGCACAGCCGGUACCAAAACCUUUUUCUCCCGCUAGCAAGGAUAUCUGUUUCGACAAGCUACGUAUACCACGCAAAGGCGUCUAUACAACCGAUUUCAUCUCUUUUUGAUUUUCUAUCAUAGCUCGCUUUAUUGCCUGUGUGUGUGAGUGUGUGUGCGCGCCUCAGCGCAUACCCUUUAUACAUAGGUGUGGGAGUGCUAAGUUGCGUUUUUGUGUCGCACCCCUGUCCUUGUGUCGAUUUACCGCUUUAUUUGCUGUCUUUGGUUCGUUGUUGAUCUGACCUGUGCCUUUUUCAUUCUGCUCUUGCUCUCUUUUUUGUUGUUCUUAGUCACGCGCGUCUACACGUUUACUGGGCAUUCCGUCUCAGAGUGUCUCACCCUUCACGCGUGUGUGUCUCCGCGGCUGGUGUGCUUCAUUUUUGUUGCCCUGUUAUUAUUAUGAUCGGCUGUUUCUAUAAGUAGCUUCUAGCCUUGGAUCUACGCACAAUCUCCUCCAUCUGUCUUCAUCUUGCGCCUUUUAUUAUUCCUUUCGCCGCCCAAUCUCUUUUUCGUUCUCCUUGUUGCUCUCCGUGUGUGUGUGUGUGCGUGCGUUUGUCUGUGCGCUUUUCGUUCGCUUUUUUUUCAUCUUUGUGCUUUACCUCUCUACGUGUGGGUCCACGACUUCUGCCCUCCCCCUCCCCUCCUCGGAGUGUCUUCUUUUUCUGCUCCCCGCCAACCCCUUUUCAGCUUUCGUUUUCUUUUUGUUCUGUUUCGUUGUACUCCUGCCCGUUUGGAGCGAGUGCGCAGUCGUCCAGUCGUUCAGUGAUUCCUCUGUGUCUUCAUUGCCACCUGACGCGCAUCUGCGCUAGCGUUGACCUUUUCUCCCGUUCACUUUGUUACGCUCGUAUUGCUGCGCUCUACUCGUUUUUUUUUUGUUCGGCGUCUUCAUUUCACUUUGGGUUCGCUUCUCUCGUCGCUUUGCUUGUGUGUGUGCGUGUGUGCGUGUGCGUGUGUGUUUUCGAGCCAUCUAUCGCGUCUUGUGUUCGGUCGUUUUAUCGCCCCUCUCUACCUCACUCUCUUGGCCCUUUCCUUUCUUUUGCUGUUGGUGUUUCCCCUCUCCCCCUUCCUGCCUGUUACGAUAUUAGCAGGCGCCCGCUGAACGGAUUGUGUCACUCUUUUUUUUUGUGAUUAAGUCUCCAUGUCAGGCAUGUAUCACGGCGUGUCUACGCCGCCGCAACAUCCCCAAAUGGCGUCCAUCGUGUACGUGCCAAGCUCUCAACCAAAUCCAGUGGCGUACUACGCCGCGGAGCCGGUCAUGAAUCCGCAGUCUAUACAACAACUCCCGCAACAUCAAGUUUCGCUCGUGUACCCAGACACCCCGGCCCAGCAGCGUAUGCAAGCACCACAGCAGCAGGUGGUCAUCCCUGAGAGCUUUGCUACCGAGGCGACCCCCUUCUACGCUUACCAGCCGGCGCGGCACGAAACGAGCGUCAACACCAGCAACCUAGUCUGCCUCGUUCCCACGGUCACCGCUAACAACUCGCCGCAGAUGCCCAUGCUGAUUCAGUCGCUGGGCUCUAGAUCCAUCAGCUUUCAUGCCGACCCUGCCUUGCGUACUCAGGAAACGCACGCUACACCACAGGCGAUGCAGCAGGUGCUGACACCAGACUACAUGCAGGUCGCGAUGGAGACGCCCGUGCCUCUGUCGCAGUCCGCGAUCGACCCAGCCCCCAAGACAAACGUGAUGAACUCUUCUGAGGUGUGCCGUCACUACAUCAAUGGCCGCUGCAACCGCCGAAAGUGUCGUUUUCUUCACCCUGACCUGCGUAGCCCAGUCAUGCCCUCCCAUGCGACCUGUACGCCUUGCGAUUCAGCACCGAUCAUGAAAAAUCCGUCGUUCGCCCAAGUUUCUCCGUUGACGCCAUACUCCAGCCUUUCAACAGCUUCGCUGAAUAGCUUCAGUGUUCCCCCUUCCACUCAGUGGGAAACCAUCCUGUGGUGAGCAACAGCCGCAAAAAGUGUAAGAUGCGGUAUGCUGUGUGUGUGUGUGUGUGAAUGAUUAGGUCGUGCUUUUAGCAAGGAAAAUCGAGCAGCAACAAGAAAAGAAAGCCGCAUAUCCGCGAUGGAGAAACGUUCGAAUCCAUUUUUUUUUGUUUCGUUAGGCGUGAAAAGCCCCUCCUCCUCGGAAAAAAUGCAGAAGGAGGUUCAGCUGAGAAGAAAGAGGGGACACGCAAGAAGUGGCAGGCAGUGAACGGCCGCGGCGGCCAAAUUCCAGGCUAUGUGAAGUCGUGCUGGUUUGCCGCACCUCCAGCGUCGAUGCGGAUGCGCGAGGUUGAUCGUAUGACUUUUCCUCACUGCCCCGCUGAAGGACUGCCGAUCUGCCGCGCCUCCUCUCGCUUCUGCCGUCCUGCGAUGCUCGUCCCUUUCCCUUUCACUUUCGACAUUUUAUGUUUCUUAUUCUCUGCCAUUUGUGUGGUUAUUUACUUCUUUGAGUCACCGUUGCUCUGCUUUUCACUGCGCUCCGCGGUAAAGUGUGCUUAUUCAUGUUCCCUCUUCUCUGAACCCCCCCCCGCAACUGUUGACCGGCUGCCUUUGAAGAGAGUGUGGAUGCCAUAAGCACACAUGUGUGGCGGAGUUCGUUUUUUUUUGUGUUCUAUGUGUGUGUUACAGUUUGAGUGUUGGGUGAUGACGCUGAGGGCACUUAUGACAGGUCAUCUGAAUAUGUGCUUGUGAUGCUAUCACGGCAUCAUCUCGUCAACUCACCGACCCCCUUUUUCAUGCGCUGUUGGUUUGCUGUCUCUCACGCAUACGCAUUUUCUUUUUCCACUUCAACUGCUUCUUUUCGUUCUUCUCGCUUUAUUAUGUCUGGAUCCGUCGAACUGCGCAUGUAUAUGAGGGGCGACAGCUUUCACGUAAUGAUUGCCUAUGCAUGUGUGUAAGCUCACCUGCGGUUCUCCCUUUGCCCUUGUGGGCCUCCGUCUUUUACUGUGUCGCGUCCAUCUCACCCUUUGAUGACGGGAGGGGGCAAACACACCCCGGUGUGAGGUGUCCCGGAUCCAGUAGCCUCCUUCACCCUCUGUGUGCAUGGGAAGAGGCCAAGCAGCCCCUCCUCCAUCCCCUGCCAAUGCAGCGCUGCACUUCCUCUGGUGCUGACAGGGUCCACGUGCCCACGACGUAGGGAAGCCAGUGCGCUGCAUCGCGACGGAUGUCGGCGGUGUGUCAGGUCCUGGAUGGCGUUGCGUCGGAGCGGCCUGCGGCAGUGCCGACGCGUCUGCGCGGCUCCAGCGCAUCCGUCACCCGGCCCUCACCACCGCCUGCUGGUGUGGGGAGCCUGAGCGCCACCCCCUCCCUCUCCGAGGAGGGAUGCCGCAGGUGGCGGCCGGCAUGAUGGGAGCGGCUGUGAGGCGGCCUGCGAGGCAGCGGGGGGGCGGGAGGAGGUCGGUGGAGCUUGAGGCAGGGGGGCCGUGCUCUCGGAUGGCUGAGUCGGCGCGUUGCCGCAAAGCGUGUGUGCCGCGCUGCGUCGCAGGACUCGGUGAGGCCUGUGGCCGGCCAGAGGGCGUGUGUGUGUGUGUGUGUGUGGAGUGGCGUUGACGUCAUGGCUGGUGGCAGAGACACGGACGCGUUGACGGAUAAGAAAAACGCUUCUAAUGCGUCAGCCCUCAUGGCUCUAGACAUACCUUCUCUCUUUUUUCGCGUGCCUUUUUUUUGAUUUUUUUUGUUUGUCUGAGGCAUUGUUGUUGUUUUUAAGUGGUGGCGUGGCGGCCUUUUUGGCUUAUAUAUAAACGAUGAUGAGAAUUACUUCAUUUAUUUGUCUCACCCUCUUAAUUUCUCUUGCCGUAGAGGACUCGUGUGCUCUUGACGCCGCGCCGCCACCGAUAUCACCGCUGUUGUCGGUUUUUGUGCUGUUUUGUCGUUGUCGAUUUCUUUUUUCUUUUCGCGGCUCCUGUGCCUGUGAGAUCUGUGGCUAUGUGCGCAGUGUUGCACAGGGACUGUUCUCUCUCUGUCUGUUACCGUUGUGAGGGUGCUGCUGACAUGUUCGGCGGCGGUGGGUAGGACCUUUACAUGCAUCUUGAAACGACUCUUUCGUGAUUGUAUUUGUGUGUGCGCCGCUUAGUAUCUUCGUCGUGAGCACCACAGGAGUCAAUCACUCUCUUUCUGCUUGAGUGUUGCAUUUAUAGGAACGGACGCAGUCAAGUGCAUGCUGGUUGACAAACUUCACCAUCCCUCUCUCUUCUCAUGCCGCGGCCGCCGUCGCCCCUCUCACUUGCAGCGCUCGUUGUGCUCAUGGAAGAUGGCGAUUUUGUGGCACGCGAUGGAGUAUGUUGGCCAGAGGAUCAGAAAAAAAUUAACGAACGGUAAUGAGAUCGACUGGAAGAAAGCAUGGAAACCCCCCGAGAAUCAGAGGCGAGUCGUGUGUGUGUGUGUGUGUGUGCACUCUCCCUUUUGAAUGCUUUCGGGAAUGGUCUUCUCUUAUAUGAUUUUUGUGUGGACGUGGGGUGAAGCUGGAACAUACCGAAGCAAAAAGAGAGGAGAGGUGCAAGCGGCUGCAUUCGCGAUACGAUUUCCCUCCUCGACCGUUUUUUUUUGUGCUUCUCUUUACCGAUCUGUGCAUCAUUGAUGGGGAUUUUUUGCUUCUUGUUUCACGUCUUCGAGCGCCCUUCUCCCGCCCCUGAUGGAACUACACCACCUGCUACCCUCAUGACUGCGUCCCUGUCCCAUUCCAUCUGUGCCUUCACCCGCUUGUGGGUUCGCUCACAAGUGCACACACAGAGUAUUCAGUGUGCCAACCUCCGCACAUUUCUCUUUUAGUUCAUCGAUCGUCUCUUCCGUGUCUCGCGAGCGCGGCAGUUCUUUUUUUCCGCCUUUUUUAUUGUUCUUUUGCUGUUUGUCGUGUUGCGUGCUGUGGUGCAACUGUAUGAUGGGCAGCAUCGACCGCAAAAAAGCGUUCAUUGCUUUUCCAGAGCGGUGCUUUCUCUCUCUCCGAUCAAACCUCAUCCCCCCUGUUUCUCCCUCCAUCCCUAUCCCCAUCAGAGACGGAGACGAGUUUGAACUCAUUUAUGAAACUGAGUCGAAGAGGUACGGAAGGUUUGCGCCACCAAGAACGGGAGUGUGUGUGUACCCUUUUCUCUGUUAUCGCUUCGCUUGUUAUUUGCCUUUGUUUUUGUUGUUUUCUGGCGCUGUGGGCUACCAUUGUACCCUCCGUCAAGCUUGAAAGAGCAUCCUAGAUGCUUUCCCUGUGUGGCAGUGACCCUCUCUCGAAGCCGCUGCAGUCACACUCACGCUUCACCCAACGCAAUAAUCCACCAACCCAAACCCUCGUUUUCUCGUGUGUUGUUGUACUCCCCUCCUAGCGGUCAAUUCGCACCGCCGCGGUGACUUUGUCCGUUGAUUAAAUCCUGUGUCACGGAAACGUGGGAACAACUCUCUGUGCCUCUUGAGUUUUUGUUUUGAAUAGUCUCCUCCACACAAGCCACGCAGCACUGGUUACUCUCUACCGCGACGUGGUGAGGCAGGAAAAGAGGAGGGUGUACACCUUGCUCAAAGCCGUUCGUCAUAGCCGCUGCGUCGCAUUGUCACCAACAGGCACGCGCGCAUUAUGUUCUUUUUUCUUUUCAAGGCUGCUUGCUUGCUCUCUUUUUUUUUUCGAAUAGUGUGUAUGUGUGUGUGUGGCAUUCUGCUUAGAUACGAACACAUAUAUAUAUAUAUCAAAAAGCUGCUUGGAUUACGUGAAUCAAAGGACUCUCUCCUUCUCUUUCGCAUUUUACCUCCAUCAAAAACCGACUCUUCAUGUGUUUUUUCUCUCCUAAUUCUUCGUGAUGCUUUUUCUUGUGUGUCUGUGCAUGUGUGCUUGAUUGUUUCAGUGCGUUCAUGCUUUCCUCUCACCUUCUUUCUAAAUAUCCAGUAGUUCUCGCUUCGUCUCCAUCAAUACUCUCACCAAACGCACGCAUGCACAGAAAAAAAUAAAAACAAUGGCGCCCGCUGUGGAGAUGGGCUGAUUGCAAUCGAAAGAUAGAGAGAGAAGUAAAAUGGCCUGUGAGAGGACACGGAGCAACGAGAGCGGAGAAGAGCCUCAGCGUGAAGAGUGGCACUUGGAUGAAAAGGGACGAAUGACAGUUUUUCUUUGUGUGUCUCGCACAUGUGAGCGUCUCCUAUUACGUCUAUUGUGUCUGGUGCCUGUGUCUGGAGAGAAGGGAGUACUCACGAUAGCACCGUUCACUAAACAUUACCCACUGUCUGCCUAUCUUGUCUUCUGUUUUCGUUUUACGAUUUUCAUUUUCUUUGCUUCCUUUAUUUAUUGGUCUAUUGUUGACCGCCUCUUGUCGGCGUAGAUGCGAUGGUCCCUCACGUGUCUCAUCGUGUGCUCUGUGGACGCCUUUUUUCAUGCCUUACACGCGAAGGGGGAGGUACGUGUACUGUGUGUGCUUUGUGGAGAGUUGUUUGGGGUGCUUCGGCACCUGAACACAGCGGGAAACGGUCGAAGUUCCGUCAACCUUUCUCCUCAAAAACGCACAAGAGAGUAACGAUAAAGGGUAUGCGUGCAGAAGGCUGCUCAACUUUCCCUCACUGUUGCUGUUUGUCUGCCAGCUUUUCGUUCUCCGGUCACCUCUUUGUGUUCUCACUUCUCGCGCCCUCUUCGUGUGCCAAGAAUCCACACUCUUACCACACGAUUGACAGGAGAAAGCACUGGCCACUCAUCAUACAAAGAGAGC
This 10413-nucleotide unclassified non-coding RNA is filed under the name Leishmania donovani. RNAcentral's name for it is "gene:LdHU3.35.5950(CDS-product:predicted_zinc_fin ger_protein)". The record is from RNAcentral. Lineage: Eukaryota; Euglenozoa; Kinetoplastea; Trypanosomatida; Trypanosomatidae.